CAUUCACGGAGAGUUUGAUCCUGGCUCAGGACGAACGCUGGCGGCGUGCUUAACACAUGCAAGUCGAACGAUGAAGCCCUUCGGGGUGGAUUAGUGGCGAACGGGUGAGUAACACGUGGGCAAUCUGCCCUUCACUCUGGGACAAGCCCUGGAAACGGGGUCUAAUACCGGAUAACACUCUCUUCCUCCUGGGAGAGGGUUGAAAGCUCCGGCGGUGAAGGAUGAGCCCGCGGCCUAUCAGCUAGUUGGUGGGGUAAUGGCCUACCAAGGCGACGACGGGUAGCCGGCCUGAGAGGGCGACCGGCCACACUGGGACUGAGACACGGCCCAGACUCCUACGGGAGGCAGCAGUGGGGAAUAUUGCACAAUGGGCGAAAGCCUGAUGCAGCGACGCCGCGUGAGGGAUGACGGCCUUCGGGUUGUAAACCUCUUUCAGCAGGGAAGAAGCGAAAGUGACGGUACCUGCAGAAGAAGCGCCGGCUAACUACGUGCCAGCAGCCGCGGU
Molecule: ribosomal RNA, 505 nt
Filed under: Streptomyces sp. SID9727
Lineage: Bacteria; Bacillati; Actinomycetota; Actinomycetes; Kitasatosporales; Streptomycetaceae
Description: bacterial SSU rRNA
Rfam family: Bacterial small subunit ribosomal RNA
Source: RNAcentral